Molecule: ribosomal RNA, 606 nt
Filed under: Triticum aestivum (bread wheat)
Lineage: Eukaryota; Viridiplantae; Streptophyta; Magnoliopsida; Poales; Poaceae
Description: partial small subunit ribosomal RNA
Source: RNAcentral
AUGGUGUACCUGGACGCGGACAUCCAGGUGUACGUUCCACCUCGAGAUGGGCCGCUUCUACGCCGUCAAGGACUGCUUCGGCGAGAAGACGUGGAGCCACACGCCGCAAUACCAGAUCGGCAACUGCCAGCAGUGCCCGGACAGGGUGGCUUGGCCAGAGAGCGACCUCGGCGUGCCCCUGCCGCCCUCUACUUCAAUGCCGGCAUGUUCGUACACGAGCCCAGCAUGGCCACCGCCAAGGCCCUACUCGACAAGCUCGUCGUCACCGAUCCCACCCCCUUCGCCGAGCAGGAGUUUCUCAACAUGUUCAUCAGGGAUGUGUAUAGGCCCAUCCUGCGCGUGUACAACCUCGUGCUCGCCAUGCUGUGGAGGCACCCCGAGAACAUCCAGCUCCAGAAGGUCAAGGUCGUCCACUACUGCGCAGCGGGAUCCAAGCCUUGGAGGUACACUGGUGAGGAGGCCAACAUGGAUAGGAAAGACAUCAAGAUGCUAGUGAAGAAAUGGUGGGCCAUCUACAAUGACAAGAGCCUCAACUACAAGCCUGCCGCUAACGAGGACAACGACCCGUUCAGUGCUGCCCUCGCCUCAUCGGUCGCUUCAAUGUAG